AACGAACGCUGGCGGCAGGCUUAACACAUGCAAGUCGAACGGGCACCUUCGGGUGUCAGUGGCAGACGGGUGAGUAACGCGUGGGAACGUACCCUUCGGUUCGGAAUAACCCAGGGAAACUUGGGCUAACACCGGAUACGUCCGCAAGGAGAAAGAUUUAUCGCCGAAGGAUCGGCCCGCGUCGGAUUAGCUAGUUGGUGGGGUAAUGGCCCACCAAGGCGACGAUCCGUAGCUGGUCUGAGAGGAUGANCAGCCACACUGGGACUGAGACACGGCCCAGACUCCUACGGGAGGCAGCAGUGGGGAAUAUUGGACAAUGGGCGAAAGCCUGAUCCAGCCAUGCCGCGUGAGUGAAGAAGGCCUUAGGGUUGUAAAGCUCUUUCAGCGGGGAAGAUAAUGACGGUACCCGCAGAAGAAGUCCCGGCUAACUUCGUGCCAGCAGCCGCCGUAAC
RNAcentral lists this ribosomal RNA (452 nucleotides) under uncultured bacterium. Its description in RNAcentral is "bacterial SSU rRNA". It matches the Rfam family "Bacterial small subunit ribosomal RNA", at positions 29 to 524 of the family's 1533-position model. The record is from RNAcentral.